This 85-nucleotide transfer RNA is filed under the name Flavonifractor sp. An82. RNAcentral describes it as "tRNA-Leu". It matches the Rfam family "tRNA". From Rfam's summary of the family: Transfer RNA (tRNA) molecules are approximately 80 nucleotides in length. Their secondary structure includes four short double-helical elements and three loops (D, anti-codon, and T loops). Lineage: Bacteria; Bacillati; Bacillota; Clostridia; Eubacteriales; Oscillospiraceae. The record is from RNAcentral.
CCCGAACUGGUGGAAUUGGUAGACACGCUGGUCUCAAGUACCAGUGCUGCAAAGCGUUCCGGUUCGAGUCCGGAGUUCGGGACCA